Molecule: long non-coding RNA, 1587 nt
Organism: Numida meleagris (helmeted guineafowl)
Lineage: Eukaryota; Metazoa; Chordata; Aves; Galliformes; Numididae
Exons: 4
Source: RefSeq, a predicted model, not a curated record
AUAAAAUGAAGAUUAAACUGAAGAGAAGAAUGCUUAUUUAACUUUCAGAAGAUCAUUCUAUUACAAUCAGUCAGUCUGAAACGAGGCUACCUCUGAAUCUUCCAGCUUUAACCAACUUUGUAGACUUGAUAGAGGCUGAUGGGGAGAUGCUUCUUCAUUCAUGGAGGAUUCAUCUGGAUGAAAAACUGAACAUUUUGGAUUUCCUCCAUAACUGAAUAGACCACUGCUAAGCUCCUCAGAAGUUGUCAUUUCCAGGGGGAUAUUAGUCUGGUAGACCAGCUGCCAAAAAGCCAUGCAGAUCCUGUGGGACAAAGUUCCAGCAGGACUUCACACUCUCCAUCCCCAGAAUGCAGCGAAUGAACAGGAUGCUUUGGUCUCCUUCACUACCUGGUUCUGCCAAUAUUACGAGGUGGCAAGAAGAGACUGCUUCCUCUACACUGAAUAAACCUACUACUGGAACAGACAGCUAUGAGACAAGUGCUUCUUGACACGGAGAGAAGGGAACGUGAGGAGGAGGAAAAUAAGGAUAUGCUGAGACAGACAGAAAAGACUUGGACAUUGUGGUUUGCAUGUUGGGAUGCAAGGGAUGUCUGGCAAAGGCUGCAGAGACAAAGGACCAGAGAGAAAGCUCUAAGUGAAACGGUACCCAGUUUUUCUUAAUAAUAAUAAAAAAAAUCCAUGAAACAGAUAGAUGUAAUCACAUAAUCACACUGCCAUGGCUAUAUAUGUCACAGCUACUUUCACAGUCAUGAAAGUAAAUGAUGAGAUAGAAAUCUCAUCAUAAGCCAUAUAUUCCAUGGAGGGUAGCACAGGAGGAAGAAAUUAAAUUAUGAAAUAAUAGGCUGACUGUCUGUGUCAUGAUUGCAAAUGGUCUAGAAAAUAUUAAAUCUAAUGUUUCUUAACUUCUGGCUUAGGUAAACACAAAUACUGAGGUUCUUCAAAUGUAGACUUUUAUAUUUGAGAAUAGGCAUGAUAUGGAGAAUGGAAGGGCAAAGAAGUUAAAAGAUCUCAAAAUUAAAAUCACUCUAAGUAACUGAAAUUAGUACACAGGAGACGUGCUGCCAUCCAACUUGUCCCUAUCUCGUCAGUCACUGCAUUUUUUACAGGCUUUUUUACAUCUGGAUUCAGACUCAAAUUGGUAAAUGACAUUAGAAAAAUAUUUAAUAAUAUUAGAGUUGUGAGUUGUUUUAUUGUAGGCUUUGCUUUGCUAUGUUUUCAGGAGAAAAUAUCUUGUGCUAGUGUUUUUGAAAUAUUUGAUCUUUCAGUUUCUUCCUAGUAUAAUAGCUAAACUACAACUAGUGAUAGAAAGAGGAUUGUAUUUUUAUUUUGAACCCGAACCUUGGAUUACUCAAGUCUCCAAACAGUUGUUUCUUGUAGAAUUAAAAUGUGAAUGUAGCUGUUCAAAAUGCUACAGCAUUGCAAAUGCAAACCUAUAUCCACCAAAAAGGGAACGUGGAUUGUCAAGUCAAAACAUAGUUCACCUUCAUUUUUGUGCAUGCUGGUUGGAGGUAAAAUUGGAUUAGAAUUUAAUGAGCUUUUAAUUCAAUUACACAAAGUAGUAGAUUGAUUGCAAUUUUACUGGGGAAA